Long non-coding RNA from Neofelis nebulosa (Clouded leopard), 430 nucleotides. RefSeq lists it as uncharacterized. The record is from RefSeq and is a predicted model, not a curated record. NCBI's taxonomy places the organism in Eukaryota, Metazoa, Chordata, Mammalia, Carnivora, Felidae. The transcript is spliced from 4 exons.
CUGGCGCUGCGGCGGCGGCGGCGGCGGGCGGGGGCGGCUCAGUGGUGGGCGCCUAUGAUAGCCUUCCGAAAUGAGGGGUGCUCAGAGAGAAAACAAUACCAAACAAUCUCGAAAUAAACCAGAUGCAUAGGGAGUCCCUGACCCCGUGACGUUUGGGAACAAGUGGAACUCGUGCAGAGGCAUCCAGGUAUUUCCAGAGACUGACGAGCGAGGUCUGCAAUCGCUUCCUAACAGCAGAUUAGCUCUAAUAGAUACAACUGGCCAAAUGGAAUACGUUUGUCCUUUCCUAUAGGGCAGAACUAUCAAUCACAAUGAAGCAAGUACAAUCCCCUGGUCUUCUCUUCUCUACCGGUCUGUUUGAAAUCAAUGUGGAUAAUCUCAAAAUAACAGUGCCUCUCUUACUGUAAGCAUUUUAGAUGUGUCAUCAUAU